CCCAGUUCCCAGGCCUGGAAUCAGAGCCUCAGUAGCCCAGCCGCGAAGAUACAACGGGAAAUGGGGGAUGGCAAUGAGCGCACAGGGCUACUCUGUAGUUCCUAUUACACAAUCGGGCAGAUUCAGUGGACAAAAACCUGGAAUAAGUGGAUUGCCAUAAAAGGAAAAUCUAGAGGAAAAUCUAGACAUUUUCGGCCUGUAUCCUCUGGAGUUUUGAAAAGAAAGAGGAGACUAAAUUGAAACAUGAAAGAUCCUGAGGGGACAUGACCAGAUGCAUGGUGAAAACGUGGUCCCUCUUCUGGGAGGAUCUCGAACUGAGGGUCAUUGUUUAAAGCACAACUGCUGCUCACAGUCCAGACGUCACUGUUCAACUCUCAGAUUCAAGCCAAAAAUUAUUUAAAAACUCAGAGAGGGUGCGAACACUGGACACAGUGGAAAGACCUC
Long non-coding RNA from Stegostoma tigrinum, 444 nucleotides. RefSeq lists it as uncharacterized. Lineage: Eukaryota; Metazoa; Chordata; Chondrichthyes; Orectolobiformes; Stegostomatidae. The record is from RefSeq and is a predicted model, not a curated record. The transcript is spliced from 3 exons.